Long non-coding RNA from Sorghum bicolor (sorghum), 630 nucleotides. RefSeq lists it as uncharacterized. NCBI's taxonomy places the organism in Eukaryota, Viridiplantae, Streptophyta, Magnoliopsida, Poales, Poaceae. The record is from RefSeq and is a predicted model, not a curated record. The transcript has 3 exons.
ACGUGAAGCAAAAAUUGCAGCUCUAAAACACUCCAGUGUUCUGGAACGCAACUGGGCACGGCCGCACGAGAAAGAUCCUUCUCUCCACGUUGAGAGAAAGCACUGGUCUCCGGGCAAGCGAUUCAUUUCAUAGAGCGUUCGUCCCCUGGUUGGUCUUGCAUGGAAACCAUUCGACGAUAUGCCCGGAGGGAGGAGAAGCGCAUCAAUGAUUUAAUGGGGGAGUUGGGGACCCCCAUGCCUCGCGUCGUGGGCGCUCGUGCAUUCUUUGUCAUCCAUUCUUCACGAAGCAAGCAGUGACAGCGACCCAGCAGAGUGGCCAUGCACCCUGCUCGUGUGGGAGAGCAGUGGCAGAGUGAGCUACGAUGGCAACAUGGUGGUCUAAAAUUUGGUGGCUAAACUUUAGAUCAUUUGAUCCAAAUAGAGCCUUAUUUGAUGUUAUUUUUAUCCCCGCUGUGUUUUCUUUCAGUGAGGAGACAUCUGUGUCAUGGGAAAACAUGACCAUGCACUUUCUAACUUAUUACUGCACACAAUGUUUAAAUAAUUUUGAUUAGCUAGCGGCCAUCACAGCCAGUGCCUAGUGAUCGGAGCUCACCACCAAGGUGGAGAGAUGCCCAUGUGCACAAUGAAACU